UGGGCAACCUGCCCUCAGCUCUGGGAUAACUCCGGGAAACCGGGGCUAAUACCGGAUACGACCUUCCCUCGCAUGGGGGUUGGUGGAAAGUUCUUCGGCUGAGGAUGGGCCCGCGGCCUAUCAGCUUGUUGGUGGGGUAACGGCCCACCAAGGCGACGACGGGUAGCCGGCCUGAGAGGGCGACCGGCCACACUGGGACUGAGACACGGCCCAGACUCCUACGGGAGGCA
This 230-nucleotide ribosomal RNA is filed under the name uncultured bacterium. RNAcentral's name for it is "partial 16S ribosomal RNA". It matches the Rfam family "Bacterial small subunit ribosomal RNA", at positions 118 to 350 of the family's 1533-position model. The record is from RNAcentral.